GACAGAGGCCCCGAGCGUUAGGCGGAAUCACUGGGCUUAAAGCGUGUGUAGGCGGAUCGUUAAGUGUCUUGUGAAAUCCCACGGCUCACCCGUGGAACUGCUGGGCAUACUGGCGAUCUUGGGCCAUUCAGGGGCGACUGGAACAAGCGGUGGAGCGGUGAAAUGCGUAGAUAUCGCUUGGAACGCCGAAGGUGAAAACAGGUCGCUGGGGAUGUGCCGACGCUGAGACACGAAAGCCAGGGGAGCAAACGGG
Molecule: ribosomal RNA, 253 nt
Filed under: uncultured bacterium
Lineage: Bacteria
Description: partial 16S ribosomal RNA
Rfam family: Bacterial small subunit ribosomal RNA
Source: RNAcentral